RNAcentral lists this ribosomal RNA (301 nucleotides) under uncultured bacterium. RNAcentral's name for it is "partial 16S ribosomal RNA". It matches the Rfam family "Bacterial small subunit ribosomal RNA", at positions 509 to 807 of the family's 1533-position model. The record is from RNAcentral.
CAGCAGCCGCGGGAAUACGUAGGGUGCAAGCGUUAAUCGGAAUUACUGGGCGUAAAGCGUGCGCAGGCGGUCUGUCAAGUCAGAUGUGAAAUCCCCGGGCUUAACCUGGGAACUGCAUUUGAAACUGGCAGGCUAGAGUCUUGUAGAGGGGGGUAGAAUUCCAGGUGUAGCGGUGAAAUGCGUAGAGAUCUGGAGGAAUACCGGUGGCGAAGGCGGCCCCCUGGACAAAGACUGACGCUCAGGUGCGAAAGCGUGGGGAGCAAACAGGAUUAGAUACCCCAGUAGUCCCUGUCUCUUAUAC